Molecule: ribosomal RNA, 438 nt
Filed under: uncultured Alphaproteobacteria bacterium
Lineage: Bacteria; Pseudomonadati; Pseudomonadota; Alphaproteobacteria
Description: bacterial SSU rRNA
Rfam family: Bacterial small subunit ribosomal RNA
Source: RNAcentral
CAGGCCUAACACAUGCAAGUCGAGCGCCGUAGCAAUACGGAGCGGCAGACGGGAGAGUAACACGUGGGAACGUGCCCUUCAGUUCGGAACAACCCAGGGAAACUUGGGCUAAUACCGGAUACGUCCGUAAGGAGAAAGAUUUAUCGCUGAAGGAUCGACCCGCGUCUGAUUAGCUAGUUGGUGGGGUAAUGGCCCACCAAGGCGACGAUCAGUAGCUGGUCUGAGAGGAUGAUCAGCCUCACUGGGACUGAGACACGGCCCAGACUCCUACGGGAGGCAGCAGUGGGGAAUAUUGGACAAUGGGCGCAAGCCUGAUCCAGCCAUGCCGCGUGGGUGAUGAAGGCCCUAGGGUUGUAAAGCCCUUUCGGCGGGGAAGAUAAUGACGGUACCCGCAGAAGAAGCCCCGGCUAACUUCGUGCCAGCAGCCGCGGUAAUACA